GAAUUUAGGCAAAGCAAUACUGCACAUCAUCUAUAAAAUUCUCAUAAUGUCUCCAUAGGGUGCUGUAGGGAACAAUACGAAUUGAUGGCAACACAAGAUGAUGGCAAGUAGAUGCACAGGCUAAGAUAUAGCUUUCUGUAUUCUUCAGGCCUAUAACAUGGGCUUUGGCUUUGUUUUAUUUGUAUGGGGUUUUGAGGUUGGUUUUAUAGGUACCAUUGGUCCCUCAGACCUUUUAGUGAGACUGAUAGCUGUUUGUGUAUUUAUUCUACAAUCUCUUUAAAAUGUGUAUGAGAUUUUUGUGGAAGUUUUACAUAUAUCAUAAUUUAUUCUAUUGUCCUAGUCUUUUCACUUCUUAAAAUAACUGCUAUUAUGUCAUAUUUUGGAGGGCUGAAUUGUUUUCUGCUUUUUUCCCCUGUUGCAUGAAGAUUAAGUGGACUAUCUUAGUUUCAAGUCAGAUAGUAUUUCAUCAGGACAGCAAAAUGACUGCAAGCAUUCAACCCCUGUGGAUGAAAUCUCAAUCUGCAGCAUUUCUGUCUCCCACAUUGAAAACACAAUUACUUAGAUCCUUGUAGAUGGGCUUUAAAACUGGGCGUAAUCCAGUGGUGAAUGAAAUGCAGAACCAUACAAAUCAGUGACAUUUAGCCUAACCACACAUCAGUCCAGGUGGCAAGAUAAAUUGGUACUCAACUGUUUCCAGCCCAUUUUCCUGGUUAGCACUCCUAAUACAAGAAACAGUUUUGGCACCUCCAGUGUGAUUUUUGUGCAUGUGCACACAGUUGUGGAAACACACUUUAUUCUGUAUUCAAAUUUUCUGGUUCAGGUAAACUUCUAAAGCACUUGAAUUUCAUUUCACACUCCUCUUAAAAACAGUUGUACUUUCUGGAAAGAGAGCACCUUUGCCUUUCAUCCUUUCUCCUCUCAUUUGUGUGAAGAAAUUGUAUCACUCAGUUGUGACAUUUCAGUAGUGGAUGCUUACAACCAUUUAAACUGAAAGCAUAUUUUUAUGAAGUAAAACCUAGAUAUAUUUACUUGUCAACAGAUAUCUCUAUAACUUCCAUAAAGAGGACUGAAUUAUAAAAAUAGUAAAAUAUGUGAAGCAUUUAGAUGUUUCUGAAAUCUAUGCUUCAAAAAAGAGCAAGAGCCAGCAAUCCCUUGUGCCAACCUCUUUUAUCUCUUGCAAAGCCUUUUCUCAUUUAUUGUAAUGCUUAACAAUUCCAUUUCACAGUGUGCUUUAGAUUCCUAACAGAAAAAAAAAAAAAUUACUUAAGAAAAAACAACUUGCAAAUCCAAGACCAGUUUCUGUUUCUGUAUGGUUCUAAAUGAAGCCUUACUAUUUCUUUACUAAUGAAAAUCUUUUCCACAUGGAAUAAACUCUUAGUUCUUAGCAUCAUUAGUAAUGCUUAAAAAAAAGUAUUUAAAAUGGUUCAGUUGCCAACUGCCUUUGACUGUCUCAAUAAGACAUUGAAACAGACCUUCUGCUCUAAAUUAAUAAGGCCAAUCACAGUUACCCAAAGCCCAGAAUGACCGAUCAUUCUUCUGGUGUCAUCGCUAUCUUUACUGAGGUCAGAUAAAUCACUUUCAAGCUGUUAAAUCAAUGAUCGUAAAUUAGGGCUCUGUUUUUACAGCACCUUGUGGGAAAUUCUCAUGGUUAAAUUAAUCUAACAGCUGCAGUGAAGAGCACUUCCCACAAGAUCAUGUCAAAAGUUCUCCCCCUACAUACCACUUUUUUUUUUAAGGGAAAAAAAGGACUGAAUUAUUUGUUUUUACCUAGCACACAAAAUGGAAUCCCUCUAUCUAUCCCUGCUAAUUCAUGUUUCAAUUGUACCCAGCUGUUUAAAUUGCACUGUGCAGAGAUUGCCUUGAUCCCCAGGUGCUGGUACUCCAUCUGUGCUGCUCUGAGAGACUAUUUACAGCCGAGGUUAGGCCAGUGAUUGCUGGGAUGGAAAACUCAUUUCUCAGCCUGGCUUUUAUUUACACUCUUAUUAAAGAUCCUUUCACUCAUGUUGGAAUGGCAGCUAGUGGCUGCAGUAAGCGUUUGGCAUUGAGCCAAGCAGCAAAAUUACCAUGUCGAUGAAAGAUAGCCUGCUUCCAUUUUAACCUUUCACUGUUCCCCCUUUCCAUCUAUAUUUGCAUGAAGAAGGAUGAUUAUUGAAAGAGAUAGGGGGACAAAGGGAUGAGAGAAUCCUUGUCAACUGAGCUUUUCAAGGGAUAAACCAAUGGUUUGUGAUCAAUUUUGAGAAAUCUUUACUGCCUUGCUAAUUUCCUACUCCUUUCUCUUAAUUGCUAUUAGACUUUAUUUUUACAGAGCUCAUGCUCUGCUCACAUCCUUCCCCCACUGCUACCCUGUGCCUUGUGAACACAACCCUGGAUACGUCUGCGAUGUUGAGGUUUGUACUUCAUCCCCAAUGCAGGUCACACAGAGCCAUAGCAACACCCUCAAAGCAUUUUUCUCCUACAAAUAUGCCUCUGAGAAAUGAAUCACUUUCUUGGGACCAAGCAGCUCAUUGCACACAGCAUGUUAUGUUACUGGAGAGGGCAAGGGAGAGUAUGACCAGUGGGUGGGGGAGGCAGGCAUGCAGUCAUCACACUAUGGCCCUAGAUACAUUUAAAAAAUAAAUAUUUCUCCAGAGACCUCAGCACUUUUGUUUUUAAGAACACAGGACUGGUGAUAAGGAAAUCCACCUCAGAUGUUGGGAGACAACAACCAACAUUUUUAAGUGCCAACUAUAGCCCAGCACAACAAGCAGGAGACCUCAAACCCUCAAGCCUCUCUAUCAAGCUCUGUUUGUGAGGCAGCCCAUGACUGGAAGUGCAACAGCUAUGGUGGUUCUUGACUGCUAGCAAAGCCACAUUUUUCUCUCUUCUCCUGCUUCCAGAGCAAGAGAGAUGGGUCUAUUUCCAUUUUUCCUUAGUGUAGGAGCACUGACUCUACUGAGAGGUUUACAAGGGUUGGUGUUCUUCCUUCUGAGCCUUGGUUUUGGUAGUGGGCAAAUAGAAGCAUUCAUCCCCUUCCCCAACAAAAAAAGAGGCUAUUUUCUGAGGGAUUUAACUCUUUACUUAGAUGUUUAUGUCAUCUGUUGUUUAGGCACUACUUAACCUUGCAGGUCCCCAAGAAAUGUAGGCUCCACUCAUCACCAGGAGGCUGCUGGUGAUCAGGGGCAGGAGAGAGGCUGACAGUGAGAACACAACUCGACCUGGGUCCAGCCACUGCAGAGAAGUCAUAUGGCAGUGCCUCAGAUGAAAAACAAACACUGUGUAGGCUGAUUCACCAGGACUCACCAGAUCAUGGUCUGAGAAGUCACCCAUCAGUUUGCUUCCCACCAAGUCAUGCCAUCUGCUAACCCCUCUCUUCAGGGGUACAUUUAAAAAACACUCCUGAAUGA
This is a long non-coding RNA of Pseudopipra pipra, 3383 nucleotides long. RefSeq lists it as uncharacterized. The transcript has 2 exons. The record is from RefSeq and is a predicted model, not a curated record. NCBI's taxonomy places the organism in Eukaryota, Metazoa, Chordata, Aves, Passeriformes, Pipridae.